CCUACGGGGGGCUGCAGUGGGGAAUAUUGGACAAUGGGGGCAACCCUGAUCCAGCCAUGCCGCGUGUGUGAAGAAGGCCCUCGGGUUGUAAAGCACUUUCAGUGAGGAAGAACGCCUGGUGGUUAAUACCCAUCAGGAAAGACAUCACUCACAGAAGAAGCACCGGCUAACUCCGUGCCAGCAGCCGCGGUAAUACGGAGGGUGCGAGCGUUAAUCGGAAUUACUGGGCGUAAAGCGCGCGUAGGUGGCUUGAUAGGCCGGUUGUGAAAGCCCCGGGCUCAACCUGGGAACGGCAUCCGGAACUGUCAAGCUAGAGUGCAGGAGAGGAAGGUAGAAUUCCCGGUGUAGCGGUGAAAUGCGUAGAGAUCGGGAGGAAUACCAGUGGCGAAGGCGGCCUUCUGGACUGACACUGACACUGAGGUGCGAAAGCGUGGGUAGCAAACAGGAUUAGAUACCCUGGUAGUC
This 465-nucleotide ribosomal RNA is filed under the name Vreelandella stevensii. RNAcentral's name for it is "partial 16S ribosomal RNA". It matches the Rfam family "Bacterial small subunit ribosomal RNA", at positions 338 to 795 of the family's 1533-position model. Lineage: Bacteria; Pseudomonadati; Pseudomonadota; Gammaproteobacteria; Oceanospirillales; Halomonadaceae. The record is from RNAcentral.